CAGUCGCCGCGGUAAUACGGAGGGUGCGAGCGUUAAUCGGAAUUACUGGGCGUAAAGCGUACGCAGGCGGUUUGUUAAGUCAGAUGUGAAAUCCCCGAGCUUAACUCGGGAACUGCAUUUGAAACUGGCAGGCAAGAGUCUCGUAGAGGGGGGUAGAAUUCCAGGUGUAGCGGUGAAAUGCGUAGAGAUCUGGAGGAAUACCGGUGGCGAAGGCGGCCCCCUGGACGAAGACUGACGCUCAGGUACGAAAGCGUGGGGAGCAAACAGGAUUAGAUACCCGCGUAGUCCCUGUCUCUUAUAC
RNAcentral lists this ribosomal RNA (301 nucleotides) under uncultured bacterium. RNAcentral describes it as "partial 16S ribosomal RNA". It matches the Rfam family "Bacterial small subunit ribosomal RNA", at positions 509 to 807 of the family's 1533-position model. The record is from RNAcentral.